CCUCCAGUUGUUUUCGGACUACAACUCCCAUCAUCCCUGACCACAGGUCCUGUUAGCUAAGGAUGAUGGGAGUUGUAGUCCCAAAAUAUCUGGAGG
RNAcentral lists this microRNA precursor (96 nucleotides) under Podarcis lilfordi (Lilford's wall lizard). The record is from RNAcentral. Lineage: Eukaryota; Metazoa; Chordata; Lepidosauria; Squamata; Lacertidae.